This 22-nucleotide non-coding RNA is filed under the name Drosophila melanogaster (fruit fly). RNAcentral also lists the same sequence under 2 other names. Lineage: Eukaryota; Metazoa; Arthropoda; Insecta; Diptera; Drosophilidae. The record is from RNAcentral.
UGAGUAUUACAUCAGGUACUGG